GCAAGUCGAGGGGUAACAGGAGAGCUUGCUCUUGCUGACGACCGGCGCACGGGUGCGUAACGCGUAUACAAUCUACCUUAUACUGGAGAAUAGCCCGAAGAAAUUCGGAUUAAUGCUCCAUAACAUUGUUUUGUCGCAUGGCAGAACACUUAAAGCUCCGGCGGUAUAAGAUGAGUAUGCGUCCUAUUAGCUUGUUGGUGAGGUAAAAGCUCACCAAGGCAACGAUAGGUAGGGGCCCUGAGAGGGGGAUC
RNAcentral lists this ribosomal RNA (251 nucleotides) under uncultured bacterium. Its description in RNAcentral is "partial 16S ribosomal RNA". It matches the Rfam family "Bacterial small subunit ribosomal RNA", at positions 57 to 305 of the family's 1533-position model. The record is from RNAcentral.